AUGGCUCUUUGAAAACUCAACAUGAAGAGUCCCGCCUGCCCAGUGAAAUUUUAUUUAACGGCCGCGGUACUCUGACCGUGCGAAGGUAGCAUAAUCAUUUGUCUUAUAAUUGAAGUCUGGAAUGAAUGGUUUCACAAGAGUAAAUCUGUCUCUUUUUUUUUUAUUAAAACUUUAUGACUAAGUUAAAAAGCUUAGAUAGAAUUAAAAGACGAGAAGACCCUAUCGAGCUUAAGGAAAUUUUUAAAAUUCUUAACAUAGAUGGAAAUAGAUUAUUUAAGAAAACUUUGGUUGGGGCGACCUAAGAACAUAUAAAGCUUCUUUAUUUUUAAGUAUAUUUAUAGAUUUGGACCCACUUUUAGUGAUUAAAAGAAUUAGUUACCGUAGGGAUAACAGCAUAAUCUUUUUUGAGAGUUCAAAUCGAAAAGGAGGUUUGUGACCUCGAUGUUGGACCAAGAUAACCUAAAGGCGCAAAAGUCUUUGAAGGUUGGUCUGUUCGACCAUUAAAAUCUUACGUGAUCUGAGUUCAAACCGG
RNAcentral lists this ribosomal RNA (532 nucleotides) under Variolipallium regium. Its description in RNAcentral is "partial large subunit ribosomal RNA". It matches the Rfam family "Bacterial large subunit ribosomal RNA", at positions 1815 to 2619 of the family's 2925-position model. Lineage: Eukaryota; Metazoa; Mollusca; Gastropoda; Littorinimorpha; Velutinidae. The record is from RNAcentral.